This is a long non-coding RNA of Tupaia belangeri chinensis (Chinese tree shrew), 427 nucleotides long. RefSeq lists it as uncharacterized. The record is from RefSeq and is a predicted model, not a curated record. The transcript is spliced from 4 exons. Lineage: Eukaryota; Metazoa; Chordata; Mammalia; Scandentia; Tupaiidae.
CCCUUAAAUACCCAUAGGCGGAACUCAGAUUCUCUCUUGGCCUUAGCGCCAUUUUCUCGGACACCUCCGCGCCAUGAGAGCCAAGUGGAGGAAGAAGCGAAUGCGCAGGCUGAAGCGUAAAAGAAGAAAGAUGAGGCAGAGGUCCAAGUAAACAGCUUGUGCACCUAUGGAGGCCACCGCAGCGGAAACGGAAUGUCGGAGGCUCGGGGCGCUGGUACUGGUUGGACUACGCGAUACUGUCGACUCUGCCUCUGGAUCUAGAACGUCCAUGGCCAGCGGAUCGCAAAGACCUGAGAGAUCACGUUGCUCCUAACAGAACAGCCCCCGUGGUCCUUUUCCCUGGGCCUGUGACAUUCUGGGACUAAUGCUGUACUUGUGGCCGAGUGUAAUACGUGUACAAUAAAUCAUCUUUUCUGUAAUAGCUGAA